Molecule: ribosomal RNA, 432 nt
Filed under: uncultured bacterium
Lineage: Bacteria
Description: bacterial SSU rRNA
Rfam family: Bacterial small subunit ribosomal RNA
Source: RNAcentral
GGGCCCGCACAAGCGGUGGAGCAUGUGGUUUAAUUCGACGCAACGCGAAGAACCUUACCAGGUCUUGACAUCCUGCGAACUUUCUAGAGAUAGAUUGGUGCCUUCGGGAACGCAGUGACAGGUGCUGCAUGGCUGUCGUCAGCUCGUGUCGUGAGGUGUUCGGUUAAGUCCGGUAACGAGCGCAACCCCUGUCCUUAGUUGCCAUCAUUCAGUUGGGCACUCUAAGGAGACUCCCGGUGUUAAACCGGCGGAAGAUGGGGAUGACGUCAAGUCCUCAUGGCCCUUACGGCUGGGGCUACACACGUACUACAAUGGCAACUACAAAGAGCAGCGAAGUCGCGAGGCCAAGCAAAUCUCAAAAAAGUUGCCUCAGUUCGGAUUGGAGUCUGCAACUCGACUCCAUGAAGUUGGAAUCGCUAGUAAUCGCGGAUC